This 824-nucleotide ribosomal RNA is filed under the name uncultured bacterium. RNAcentral's name for it is "bacterial SSU rRNA". It matches the Rfam family "Bacterial small subunit ribosomal RNA", at positions 57 to 890 of the family's 1533-position model. The record is from RNAcentral.
GCAGUCGAGGGGUAUAGUAGCAAUACUAGAGACCGGCGCACGGGUGCGUAGCGCGUAUGCAAUCUACCUUUUACAGAGGGAUAGCCCAGAGAAAUUUGGAUUAAUACCUCAUAGCAUGCAGAGUUGGCAUCAACACUGCAUUAAAGUCACAACGGUAAAAGAUGAGCAUGCGUCCCAUUAGCUAGUUGGUAAGGUAACGGCUUACCAAGGCUACGAUGGGUAGGGGUCCUGAGAGGGAGAUCCCCCACACUGGUACUGAGACACGGACCAGACUCCUACGGGAGGCAGCAGUGAGGAAUAUUGGUCAAUGGGCGCAAGCCUGAACCAGCCAUGCCGCGUGCAGGAUGACGGUCCUAUGGAUUGUAAACUGCUUUUGUACGGGAAGAAACAGCGAUUCGUGAAUCGCCUUGACGGUACCGUAAGAAUAAGGAUCGGCUAACUCCGUGCCAGCAGCCGCGGUAAUACGGAGGAUCCAAGCGUUAUCCGGAAUCAUUGGGUUUAAAGGGUCCGUAGGCGGUUUGGUAAGUCAGUGGUGAAAGCCCAUCGCUCAACGGUGGAACGGCCAUUGAUACUGCCAGACUUGAAUUAUUAGGAAGUAACUAGAAUAUGUAGUGUAGCGGUGAAAUGCUUAGAGAUUACAUGGAAUACCAAUUGCGAAGGCAGGUUACUACUAAUGGAUUGACGCUGAUGGACGAAAGCGUGGGUAGCGAACAGGAUUAGAUACCCUGGUAGUCCACGCCGUAAACGAUGGAUACUAGCUGUUGGGAGCGAUCUCAGUGGCUAAGCGAAAGUGAUAAGUAUCCCACCUGGGGAGUACGUUCGCA